CAAUAUAAAGCUAAAAAGUUUUUUAUUUACAUUAAAAAGAAUAUUAUUAAAUUAAUAUAUAUUGA
This 65-nucleotide transfer RNA is filed under the name Cucujoidea sp. 42 KM-2017. RNAcentral describes it as "tRNA-Val". The record is from RNAcentral. Lineage: Eukaryota; Metazoa; Arthropoda; Insecta; Coleoptera.